GCUCCCAUGGCGUAGUGUCCACUGCGCUCGCUUUGCACGCGGGAGACCCGGGUUCGAUUCCCGGCGGGGUCA
RNAcentral lists this transfer RNA (72 nucleotides) under Diaphorina citri (Asian citrus psyllid). It matches the Rfam family "tRNA". From Rfam's summary of the family: Transfer RNA (tRNA) molecules are approximately 80 nucleotides in length. Their secondary structure includes four short double-helical elements and three loops (D, anti-codon, and T loops). Further hydrogen bonds mediate the characteristic L-shaped molecular structure. tRNAs have two regions of fundamental functional importance: the anti-codon, which is responsible for specific mRNA codon recognition, and the 3' end, to which the tRNAs corresponding amino acid is attached (by aminoacyl-tRNA synthetases). tRNAs cope with the degeneracy of the genetic code in two manners: having more than one tRNA (with a specific anti-codon) for a particular amino acid; and 'wobble' base-pairing, i.e. permitting non-standard base-pairing at the 3rd anti-codon position. The record is from Rfam by way of RNAcentral. Lineage: Eukaryota; Metazoa; Arthropoda; Insecta; Hemiptera; Psyllidae.